This 345-nucleotide unclassified non-coding RNA is filed under the name soil metagenome. Its description in RNAcentral is "partial contains 5.8S ribosomal RNA, internal transcribed spacer 2, and large subunit ribosomal RNA". The stretch from base 1 to 120 matches the Rfam family "5.8S ribosomal RNA", at positions 35 to 154 of the family's 154-position model. The record is from RNAcentral.
GAUGAAGAACGCAGCGAAAUGCGAUACGUAAUGUGAAUUGCAGAAUUCAGUGAAUCAUCGAGUCUUUGAACGCACAUUGCGCCCCCUGGUAUUCCGGAGGGCAUGCCUGUCCGAGCGUCAUUGCUGCCCUCAAGCACGGCUUGUGUGUUGGGCCCCGCCCCCCGAUCCCGGGGGGCGGGCCCGAAAGGCAGCGGCGGCACCGCGUCCGGUCCUCGAGCGUAUGGGGCUUUGUCACCCGCUCUGUAGGCCCGGCCGGCGCUUGCCGAUCAACCAAACUUUUUUCCAGGUUGACCUCGGAUCAGGUAGGGAUACCCGCUGAACUUAAGCAUAUCAAUAAGCGGAGGA